This 267-nucleotide ribosomal RNA is filed under the name uncultured bacterium. RNAcentral describes it as "partial 16S ribosomal RNA". It matches the Rfam family "Archaeal small subunit ribosomal RNA", at positions 339 to 607 of the family's 1478-position model. The record is from RNAcentral.
GCGCGAAAACUUUACAAUGCUGGCAACAGCGAUAAGGGAACCUCGAGUGCCAGGUUACAAAUCUGGCUGUCGAGAUGCCUAAAAGCAUUUCAUAGCAAGGGCCGGGCAAGACCGGUGCCAGCCGCCGCGGUAACACCGGCGGCUCGAGUGGUAACCGUUAUUAUUGGGUCUAAAGGGUCUGUAGCCGGCCGGAUAAGUCUCUUGAGAAAUCUGGCAGCUUAACUGGCAGGCUUUCAGGAACUACUGUCUGGCUCGAGGCCGGGAGAG